AAGACUGUACUCGAACAGGAUCAUUUCUAUAGUAAAGUAGU
This 41-nucleotide small nuclear RNA is filed under the name Blastocystis sp. ATCC 50177/Nand II. RNAcentral's name for it is "U3". The record is from RNAcentral. Lineage: Eukaryota; Bigyra; Opalinata; Blastocystidae.